This 240-nucleotide unclassified non-coding RNA is filed under the name soil metagenome. Its description in RNAcentral is "partial contains 5.8S ribosomal RNA, internal transcribed spacer 2, and large subunit ribosomal RNA". The record is from RNAcentral.
AACUGAUACUACCUGCGGGAACCUGCGGAGGGAUCAUUACCGAGUUUACAACUCCCAAACCCAAUGUGAACGUUACCAAACUGUUGCCUCGGCGGGAUCUCUGCCCCGGGUGCGUCGCAGCCCCGGACCAAGGCGCCCGCCGGAGGACCAACCAAAACUCUUUUGUAUACCCCCUCGCGGGUUUUCUAUAUCUGAGCCAUCUCGGCGCCUCUCGUAGGCGUUUCGAAAAUGAAUCAAAAC